GUCCUGGUAGCCCAACGGCAGGAGGCAGCGCCUUCAAAACGCGCACAGUGCGAGUUCGACUCUCGCCCAGGACA
Molecule: transfer RNA, 74 nt
Filed under: Micromonospora pisi
Lineage: Bacteria; Bacillati; Actinomycetota; Actinomycetes; Micromonosporales; Micromonosporaceae
Description: Micromonospora sp. GUI15 tRNA
Rfam family: tRNA
About the family: Transfer RNA (tRNA) molecules are approximately 80 nucleotides in length. Their secondary structure includes four short double-helical elements and three loops (D, anti-codon, and T loops).
Source: Rfam by way of RNAcentral